AUCACUUCUACGCCUUUUGGCUAAGAUCAAGUGUAGCAGUUGUCCUUAACAGUUUAAUAUCUGCUACACCCCCUAUCUGAGAACAAUACAGUAUAUUAAAUGGAUUUUUUGAACUAGGAAUAGGAGCUUGCUUCAUCCACUUCAUGCAUUGACCUGGUAUUGGAGUACCUUAC
This 173-nucleotide small nuclear RNA is filed under the name Suricata suricatta (meerkat). Its description in RNAcentral is "U2 spliceosomal RNA (ENSSSUG00005013984.1)". It matches the Rfam family "U2 spliceosomal RNA". Rfam says of the family: U2 is a small nuclear RNA (snRNA) component of the spliceosome (involved in pre-mRNA splicing). Complementary binding between U2 snRNA (in an area lying towards the 5' end but 3' to hairpin I) and the branchpoint sequence (BPS) of the intron results the bulging out of an unpaired adenosine, on the BPS, which initiates a nucleophilic attack at the intronic 5' splice site, thus starting the first of two transesterification reactions that mediate splicing. The record is from Rfam by way of RNAcentral. Lineage: Eukaryota; Metazoa; Chordata; Mammalia; Carnivora; Herpestidae.